Molecule: ribosomal RNA, 3010 nt
Filed under: Salmonella enterica
Lineage: Bacteria; Pseudomonadati; Pseudomonadota; Gammaproteobacteria; Enterobacterales; Enterobacteriaceae
Description: 23S ribosomal RNA
Rfam family: Bacterial large subunit ribosomal RNA
Source: RNAcentral
GGGUUGUGAGGUUAAGCGACUAAGCGUACACGGUGGAUGCCCUGGCAGUCAGAGGCGAUGAAGGGCGUGCUAAUCUGCGAUAAGCGCCGGUAAGGUGAUAUGAACCGUUAUAACCGGCGAUACCCGAAUGGGGAAACCCAGUGUGAUUCGUCACACUAUCAUUAACUGAAUCCAUAGGUUAAUGAGGCGAACCGGGGGAACUGAAACAUCUAAGUACCCCGAGGAAAAGAAAUCAACCGAGAUUCCCCCAGUAGCGGCGAGCGAACGGGGAGGAGCCCAGAGCCUGAAUCAGCAUGUGUGUUAGUGGAAGCGUCUGGAAAGGCGCGCGAUACAGGGUGACAGCCCCGUACACAAAAGCGCAUGUGCUGUGAGCUCGAUGAGUAGGGCGGGACACGUGGUAUCCUGUCUGAAUAUGGGGGGACCAUCCUCCAAGGCUAAAUACUCCUGACUGACCGAUAGUGAACCAGUACCGUGAGGGAAAGGCGAAAAGAACCCCGGCGAGGGGAGUGAAAAAGAACCUGAAACCGUGUACGUACAAGCAGUGGGAGCACAGGUUUACCUGUGUGACUGCGUACCUUUUGUAUAAUGGGUCAGCGACUUAUAUUCUGUAGCAAGGUUAACCGAAUAGGGGAGCCGGAGGGAAACCGAGUCUUAAUUGGGCGUUAAGUUGCAGGGUAUAGACCCGAAACCCGGUGAUCUAGCCAUGGGCAGGUUGAAGGUUGGGUAACACUAACUGGAGGACCGAACCGACUAAUGUUGAAAAAUUAGCGGAUGACCUGUGGCUGGGGGUGAAAGGCCAAUCAAACCGGGAGAUAGCUGGUUCUCCCCGAAAGCUAUUUAGGUAGCGCCUCGUGAAUUCAUCUCCGGGGGUAGAGCACUGUUUCGGCUAGGGGGCCAUCCCGGCUUACCAACCCGAUGCAAACUGCGAAUACCGGAGAAUGUUAUCACGGGAGACACACGGCGGGUGCUAACGUCCGUCGUGAAGAGGGAAACAACCCAGACCGCCAGCUAAGGUCCCAAAGUCAUGGUUAAGUGGGAAACGAUGUGGGAAGGCCCAGACAGCCAGGAUGUUGGCUUAGAAGCAGCCAUCAUUUAAAGAAAGCGUAAUAGCUCACUGGUCGAGUCGGCCUGCGCGGAAGAUGUAACGGGGCUAAACCAUGCACCGAAGCUGCGGCAGCGAACGUAUCACUUAAAGCGAUUCAGCGGGUUACGAUUGACGGAGCGAAGCGACGUCAAAGCGUAUACAAAGUCGAGUCGGUUUAAGGAUACGUUCGUUGGGUAGGGGAGCGUUCUGUAAGCCUGUGAAGGUGGCCUGUGAGGGUUGCUGGAGGUAUCAGAAGUGCGAAUGCUGACAUAAGUAACGAUAAAGCGGGUGAAAAGCCCGCUCGCCGGAAGACCAAGGGUUCCUGUCCAACGUUAAUCGGGGCAGGGUGAGUCGACCCCUAAGGCGAGGCCGAAAGGCGUAGUCGAUGGGAAACGGGUUAAUAUUCCCGUACUUGGUGUUACUGCGAAGGGGGGACGGAGAAGGCUAUGUUGGCCGGGCGACGGUUGUCCCGGUUUAAGCGUGUAGGUGUGUGUUCCAGGUAAAUCCGGUUCACUUUAACACUGAGGCGUGACGACGAGGCACUACGGUGCUGAAGCAACAAAUGCCCUGCUUCCAGGAAAAGCCUCUAAGCAUCAGGUAACAUCAAAUCGUACCCCAAACCGACACAGGUGGUCAGGUAGAGAAUACCAAGGCGCUUGAGAGAACUCGGGUGAAGGAACUAGGCAAAAUGGUGCCGUAACUUCGGGAGAAGGCACGCUGACAUGUAGGUGAAGUGAUUUACUCAUGGAGCUGAAGUCAGUCGAAGAUACCAGCUGGCUGCAACUGUUUAUUAAAAACACAGCACUGUGCAAACACGAAAGUGGACGUAUACGGUGUGACGCCUGCCCGGUGCCGGAAGGUUAAUUGAUGGGGUCAGCGCAAGCGAAGCUCCUGAUCGAAGCCCCGGUAAACGGCGGCCGUAACUAUAACGGUCCUAAGGUAGCGAAAUUCCUUGUCGGGUAAGUUCCGACCUGCACGAAUGGCGUAAUGAUGGCCAGGCUGUCUCCAGCCGAGACUCAGUGAAAUUGAACUCGCUGUGAAGAUGCAGUGUACCCGCGGCAAGACGGAAAGACCCCGUGAACCUUUACUAUAGCUUGACACUGAACAUUGAGCCUUGAUGUGUAGGAUAGGUGGGAGGCUUUGAAGUGUGGACGCCAGUCUGCAUGGAGCCGACCUUGAAAUACCACCCUUUAAUGUUUGAUGUUCUAACGUGGACCCGUAAUCCGGGUUGCGGACAGUGUCUGGUGGGUAGUUUGACUGGGGCGGUCUCCUCCUAAAGAGUAACGGAGGAGCACGAAGGUUGGCUAAUCCUGGUCGGACAUCAGGAGGUUAGUGCAAUGGCAUAAGCCAGCUUGACUGCGAGCGUGACGGCGCGAGCAGGUGCGAAAGCAGGUCAUAGUGAUCCGGUGGUUCUGAAUGGAAGGGCCAUCGCUCAACGGAUAAAAGGUACUCCGGGGAUAACAGGCUGAUACCGCCCAAGAGUUCAUAUCGACGGCGGUGUUUGGCACCUCGAUGUCGGCUCAUCACAUCCUGGGGCUGAAGUAGGUCCCAAGGGUAUGGCUGUUCGCCAUUUAAAGUGGUACGCGAGCUGGGUUUAGAACGUCGUGAGACAGUUCGGUCCCUAUCUGCCGUGGGCGCUGGAGAACUGAGGGGGGCUGCUCCUAGUACGAGAGGACCGGAGUGGACGCAUCACUGGUGUUCGGGUUGUCAUGCCAAUGGCACUGCCCGGUAGCUAAAUGCGGAAGAGAUAAGUGCUGAAAGCAUCUAAGCACGAAACUUGCCCCGAGAUGAGUUCUCCCUGAGACUUAGAGUCUCCUGAAGGAACGUUGAAGACGACGACGUUGAUAGGCCGGGUGUGUAAGCGCAGCGAUGCGUUGAGCUAACCGGUACUAAUGAACCGUGAGGCUUAACCUUACAACGCCGAAG